Molecule: non-coding RNA, 30 nt
Filed under: Rattus norvegicus (Norway rat)
Lineage: Eukaryota; Metazoa; Chordata; Mammalia; Rodentia; Muridae
Source: RNAcentral
UCCUAGUCGAUAACGGAGAGAAAUGGCUGC